Molecule: ribosomal RNA, 615 nt
Filed under: Escherichia coli
Lineage: Bacteria; Pseudomonadati; Pseudomonadota; Gammaproteobacteria; Enterobacterales; Enterobacteriaceae
Description: partial 23S ribosomal RNA
Rfam family: Bacterial large subunit ribosomal RNA
Source: RNAcentral
GGGACACGUGGUAUCCUGUCUGAAUAUGGGGGGACCAUCCUCCAAGGCUAAAUACUCCUGACUGACCGAUAGUGAACCAGUACCGUGAGGGAAAGGCGAAAAGAACCCCGGCGAGGGGAGUGAAAAAGAACCUGAAACCGUGUACGUACAAGCAGUGGGAGCACGCUUAGGCGUGUGACUGCGUACCUUUUGUAUAAUGGGUCAGCGACUUAUAUUCUGUAGCAAGGUUAACCGAAUAGGGGAGCCGAAGGGAAACCGAGUCUUAACUGGGCGUUAAGUUGCAGGGUAUAGACCCGAAACCCGGUGAUCUAGCCAUGGGCAGGUUGAAGGUUGGGUAACACUAACUGGAGGACCGAACCGACUAAUGUUGAAAAAUUAGCGGAUGACUUGUGGCUGGGGGUGAAAGGCCAAUCAAACCGGGAGAUAGCUGGUUCUCCCCGAAAGCUAUUUAGGUAGCGCCUCGUGAAUUCAUCUCCGGGGGUAGAGCACUGUUUCGGCAAGGGGGUCAUCCCGACUUACCAACCCGAUGCAAACUGCGAAUACCGGAGAAUGUUAUCACGGGAGACACACGGCGGGUGCUAACGUCCGUCGUGAAGAGGGAAACAACCCAGACCG